CAAUAGCGUAUAUUUAAGUUGUUGCAGUUAAAAAGCUCGUAGUUGGAUUUCGGGUGGGACGCAGCGGUCUCGCAUUGCGUUUGUACUGCUGCAGCCCUCCUUCUUGCCGGGGGCGGCCUCUCGGACUUCACUGUCUGGGGGUCAGAAUCGGCGACGUUACUUUGAGUAAAUUAGAGUGUUCAAAGCAAGCUUACGCUCUGAAUAUAAUAGCAUGGGAUAACACGACAGGACUCUGGCCUAUCGUGUUGGUCUAUAGGACCAGAGUAAUGAUUAAGAGGGACAGUCGGGGGCAUUCGUAUUCCGUUGUCAGAGGUGAAAUUCUUGGAUUUACGGAAGACGAACAUCUGCGAAAGCAUUUGCCAAGGAUGUUUUCAUUGA
Molecule: ribosomal RNA, 378 nt
Filed under: uncultured eukaryote
Lineage: Eukaryota
Description: partial 18S ribosomal RNA
Rfam family: Eukaryotic small subunit ribosomal RNA
Source: RNAcentral